RNAcentral lists this ribosomal RNA (465 nucleotides) under Vreelandella stevensii. RNAcentral describes it as "partial 16S ribosomal RNA". It matches the Rfam family "Bacterial small subunit ribosomal RNA", at positions 338 to 795 of the family's 1533-position model. Lineage: Bacteria; Pseudomonadati; Pseudomonadota; Gammaproteobacteria; Oceanospirillales; Halomonadaceae. The record is from RNAcentral.
CCUACGGGUGGCAGCAGUGGGGAAUAUUGGACAAUGGGCGAAAGCCUGAUCCAGCCAUGCCGCGUGUGUGAAGAAGGCCUUCGGGUUGUAAAGCACUUUCAGUGGGGAAGAAAGCCUUGGGGCUAAUACCCUCGAGGAAGGACAUCACCCACAGAAGAAGCACCGGCUAACUCCGUGCCAGCAGCCGCGGUAAUACGGAGGGUGCGAGCGUUAAUCGGAAUUACUGGGCGUAAAGCGCGCGUAGGCGGUCUGAUAAGCCGGUUGUGAAAGCCCCGGGCUCAACCUGGGAACGGCAUCCGGAACUGUCAGGCUAGAGUGCAGGAGAGGAAGGUAGAAUUCCCGGUGUAGCGGUGAAAUGCGUAGAGAUCGGGAGGAAUACCAGUGGCGAAGGCGGCCUUCUGGACUGAAACUGACGCUGAGGUGCGAAAGCGUGGGUAGCAAACAGGAUUAGAUACCCUUGUAGUC